This 56-nucleotide non-coding RNA is filed under the name marine eukaryotic metagenome. RNAcentral's name for it is "terC RNA". It matches the Rfam family "terC RNA", at positions 6 to 58 of the family's 59-position model. The record is from RNAcentral.
GCGGGACCGGGCCCCUCUGGCGCAGGCAUUCUUGCCGCGUGAUGUCGGACCGCAUC